This 170-nucleotide ribosomal RNA is filed under the name Parupeneus spilurus (blackspot goatfish). RNAcentral describes it as "partial 12S rRNA". The record is from RNAcentral. Lineage: Eukaryota; Metazoa; Chordata; Actinopteri; Syngnathiformes; Mullidae.
AACCGCGGUUAUACGAGAGGCCCAAGUUGAUAGGAAUCGGCGUAAAGGGUGGUUAAGGGUUAUUACAAAAUAAAGCCGAAGGUCCUCAAUGCUGUUAUACGCUCUCGAAGACUCGAAGCCCCACCACGAAAGUGGCUUUACCCCGCCCCGAACCCACGAAAGCCAGGGUA